GACGAACGCUGGCGGCGCGCUUAACACGUGCAAGUCGAACGGAAAGGCCCUGCUUUUGUGGGGUGCUCGAGUGGCGAAAGGGUGAGUAACACGUGAGACACCUGCCCUUGACUUUGGGAUCACUUCAGGAAACUGGGGCUAAUACCGGAUAGGAGCUCCUGCUGCAUGGGGGGGGUUGGACAGUUUCGGCGGUUGGGGAUGGACUCGCGGCUUAUCAGCUUGUUGGUGGGGUAGUGGCUUACCAAGGCUUUGACGGGUAGCCGGCCUGAGAGGGUGACCGGCGACAUUGGGACUGAGAUACGGCCCAGACGCCUACGGGAGGCAGCAGUGGGGAAUAUUGCACAAUGGGCGGAAGCCUGAUGCAGCAACGCCGCGUGCGGGAUGACGGCCUUCGGGUUGUAAACCGCUUUCGCCCGUGACGAAGCGUGAGUGACGGUAAUGGGUAAAGAAGCACCGGCUAACUACGUG
This 468-nucleotide ribosomal RNA is filed under the name uncultured bacterium. RNAcentral describes it as "partial 16S ribosomal RNA". It matches the Rfam family "Bacterial small subunit ribosomal RNA", at positions 28 to 507 of the family's 1533-position model. The record is from RNAcentral.